GUCAAAAUUCAAACCACGGGUAGGCACUUAAAAUUAGAGGUACUUGUCAAGGCUUAAGUAUUACAUGCAUAAUAAAACUUAUCCAGAAGGCUCCAUUGCAGAAGGGUAUAUAGCAGAGGAAUGCUUAACAUUUUGUUCACACUAUUUUAAAUCUGUUGAAACUGCAUUCAAUCGGCCUAUAAGGAAUGUUGAGGAAUCCAUGGGUGCGGUGAUGAGCAUUACACUAGAUUCAAAUUCAUGGAUCCAAGCAUAUCGUUAUGUGCUAUUCAAUUGUGAAGAAAUCACCCCAUUUCGCGAACUUUGACAGUUGAAAUGGCAAGGCGAAAGGCAAAUUUGCGCACACGUCCCAAGAGUGUAACAUUGGAAAGAGCUUCUUCACAAGAUGCGAAUGAAGUGGGGGACCAAGAAACGCAUGAAGCUUCUACACAAGGAUCAGAUGUGCAACCAGCUAUACGUGUCACUCGCGGGCCAAAUAAG
Quercus lobata is the source of this 477-nucleotide long non-coding RNA. RefSeq lists it as uncharacterized. Lineage: Eukaryota; Viridiplantae; Streptophyta; Magnoliopsida; Fagales; Fagaceae. The transcript is spliced from 4 exons. The record is from RefSeq and is a predicted model, not a curated record.